UACGUAGGGGGCAAGCGUUGUCCGGAUUUAUUGGGCGUAAAGAGCGUGUAGGCGGCCAGGUAGGUCUGCUGUGAAAACUCGAGGCUUAACCUCGAGCUGUCGGCGGAAACCAUCUGGCUAGAGUCCGGAAGAGGAGAAUGGAAUUCCCGGUGUAGCGGUGAAAUGCGCAGAUAUCGAGAGGAACACCAGAGGUGAAGACGGGUUGCUGGGCUGACACUGACGCUGAGGCGCGAAAGCCAGGGGAGCAAACGGG
Molecule: ribosomal RNA, 253 nt
Filed under: uncultured bacterium
Lineage: Bacteria
Description: partial 16S ribosomal RNA
Rfam family: Bacterial small subunit ribosomal RNA
Source: RNAcentral